GAUAUCGCGCCCACCUUUAUU
RNAcentral lists this microRNA (21 nucleotides) under Murid gammaherpesvirus 4 (Murine herpesvirus 68). Its description in RNAcentral is "mghv-miR-M1-7-3p". Its record names the gene mghv-miR-M1-7-3p. Lineage: Duplodnaviria; Heunggongvirae; Peploviricota; Herviviricetes; Herpesvirales; Orthoherpesviridae. The record is from miRBase by way of RNAcentral.